Molecule: ribosomal RNA, 697 nt
Filed under: fungal sp.
Lineage: Eukaryota; Fungi
Description: eukaryotic LSU rRNA
Rfam family: Eukaryotic large subunit ribosomal RNA (bases 489-697)
Source: RNAcentral
CAUUACACAAAUAUGAAGGCGGGCUGGAACCUCUCGGGGUUACAGCCUUGCUGAAUUAUUCACCCUUGUCUUUUGCGUACUUCUUGUUUCCUUGGUGGGUUCGCCCACCACUAGGACAAACAUAAACCUUUUGUAAUUGCAAUCAGCGUCAGUAACAAAUUAAUAAUUACAACUUUCAACAACGGAUCUCUUGGUUCUGGCAUCGAUGAAGAACGCAGCGAAAUGCGAUAAGUAGUGUGAAUUGCAGAAUUCAGUGAAUCAUCGAAUCUUUGAACGCACAUUGCGCCCUUUGGUAUUCCAAAGGGCAUGCCUGUUCGAGCGUCAUUUGUACCCUCAAGCUUUGCUUGGUGUUGGGCGUCUUGUCUCUAGCUUUGCUGGAGACUCGCCUUAAAGUAAUUGGCAGCCGGCCUACUGGUUUCGGAGCGCAGCACAAGUCGCACUCUCUAUCAGCAAAGGUCUAGCAUCCAUUAAGCCUUUUUUUCAACUUUUGACCUCGGAUCAGGUAGGGAUACCCGCUGAACUUAAGCAUAUCAAUAAGCGGAGGAAAAGAAACCAACAGGGAUUGCCCUAGUAACGGCGAGUGAAGCGGCAACAGCUCAAAUUUGAAAUCUGGCUCUUUUAGAGUCCGAGUUGUAAUUUGCAGAGGGCGCUUUGGUUUUGGCAGCGGUCCAAGUUCCUUGGAACAGGACGUCACAGA